UACGGAGGAUCCGAGCGUUAUCCGGAUUCAUUGGGUUUAAAGGGUGCGUAGGUUGUUUUAUAAGUUAGCGGUGAAAUACCGAUGCUCAACAUCGGGGCUGCCGCUGAUACUGUAGGACUAGAGAUCGGAUGCAGCAGGCGGAAUGUGUAGUGUAGCGGUGAAAUGCAUAGAUAUUACACAGAACACCGAUUGCGAAGGCAGCCUUCCGGCGCCCUACUGACGCUGAGGCACGAAAGUGCGGGGAUCGAACAGG
This 253-nucleotide ribosomal RNA is filed under the name uncultured bacterium. RNAcentral's name for it is "partial 16S ribosomal RNA". It matches the Rfam family "Bacterial small subunit ribosomal RNA", at positions 524 to 776 of the family's 1533-position model. The record is from RNAcentral.